AAGUCGUAACAAGGUUUCCGUAGGUGAACCUGCGGAAGGAUCAUUAUCGUACAACGGAGGUGCCUAGGGCUGUCGCUGACCUUCACAGGUCGUGCACGCCCAAAGCGCUCUCUCUGAUGUCCAUCUCACCCCUUUGUGCAUCACCGCGUGGGCCCCCCUAUUGGGCUUGUUCCGAUGGGGGGUUCGCGUUUUUACACAGACAACCUUUAUUAAUGAAUGUGUAGAAUGUCUUACUUUUUGCAAUCACACGCAAUCAAUAUAACUUUCAACAACGGAUCUCUUGGCUCUCGCAUCGAUGAAGAACGCAGCGAAAUGCGAUACGUAAUGUGAAUUGCAGAAUUCAGUGAAUCAUCGAAUCUUUGAACGCACCUUGCGCCCCUUGGUAUUCCGAGGGGCACACCCGUUUGAGUGUCGUGAACAUCCUCAACCUUCUUGGUUUCUCAACCGGGGAAGGCUUGGACUUUGGAGGUUUUCUCUUGCUGGCCUUCCUUUGAAGCCGGCUCCUCCUAAAUGGAUUAGUGGGGUCCGCUUUGCCGAUCCUUGACGUGAUAAGCGUGCUUCUACGUCUUGGGUUUCGCACUGCCUCGGCCUGGAACCCGCUUCCAACGGUCUCUCUUUUGAAAGAC
Molecule: ribosomal RNA, 626 nt
Filed under: uncultured Russula
Lineage: Eukaryota; Fungi; Basidiomycota; Agaricomycetes; Russulales; Russulaceae
Description: eukaryotic LSU rRNA
Rfam family: 5.8S ribosomal RNA (bases 261-414)
Source: RNAcentral